UAAAUACAACAUAAUAAAUUAAAAUGGAUCUUCUAAUCCGACUUCUUCGGCACUCUUCAAUCCUUAUAAUAAUUCAACUUCAGGAAUCCGUCCAACGAUUUAAGACUGACUCGUUGGAGAGAAGAAUAAGAUAAGCUUUGGCCUUUACGAGCGUCUCGAUAUGCGAGAGAAUGAGUUCCUCGUGAACUCAAAAUGAUUACACAUGCAAUCAAAGACAAAUAAGCGUGUAAGUGACAUAAACCACAUCCAAAUAAUCCUCUUUUAAUUUGAAACCUAAAGGGACAAAUCAUACAAGUUUCUAAAUUAAUGUAAGAAAACAAUAAAACCAUAGUUGAUUAAUACAACAGAUUUAGAACAAGUGAACAUAAGUCUCCAUCAAUAUUUUAGAUAA
This 391-nucleotide unclassified non-coding RNA is filed under the name Hevea brasiliensis (rubber tree). The record is from RNAcentral. Lineage: Eukaryota; Viridiplantae; Streptophyta; Magnoliopsida; Malpighiales; Euphorbiaceae.